Molecule: ribosomal RNA, 468 nt
Filed under: uncultured bacterium
Lineage: Bacteria
Description: partial 16S ribosomal RNA
Rfam family: Bacterial small subunit ribosomal RNA
Source: RNAcentral
GACGAACGCUGGCGGCGUGCUUAACACAUGCCAGUCGAACGGAAAGGCCCUGCUUUUGUGGGGUGCUCGAGUGGCGAACGGGUGAGUAACACGUGAGUAACCUGCCCUUGACUUUGGGAUAACUUCAGGAAACUGGGGCUAAUACCGGAUAGGAGCUCCUGCUGCAUGGUGGGGGUUGGAAAGUUUCGGCGGUUGGGGAUGGACUCGCGGCUUAUCAGCUUGUUGGUGGGGUAGUGGCUUACCAAGGCUUUGACGGGUAGCCGGCCUGAGAGGGUGACCGGCCACAUUGGGACUGAGAUACGGCCCAGACUCCUACGGGAGGCAGCAGUGGGGAAUAUUGCACAAUGGGCGGAAGCCUGAUGCAGCAACGCCGCGUGCGGGAUGACGGCCUUCGGGUUGUAAACUGCUUUCGCCUGUGACGAAGCGUGAGUGACGGUAAUGGGUAAAGAAGCACCGGCUAACUACGUG